GAGUUUGAACCUGGCUCAGGACGAACGCUGGCGGCGCGCCUAACACAUGCAAGUCGAACGGGGAUAUGCUGGACAAGGCUUCGGCCGAGGAAGGCAUAUUCGAGUGGCGGACGGGUGAGUAACGCGUGAGCAACCUGCCUUUCAGAGGGGGAUAACGAUUGGAAACGAUCGCUAAUACCGCAUAACAUUGCAGAGCCGCAUGGUUUUGCAAUCAAAGGAGCAAUCCGCUGAGAGAUGGGCUCGCGUCCAAUUAGGUAGAUGGUGGGGUAGAGGCCCACCAUGCCGACGAUUGGUAGCCGGACUGAGAGGUUGAACGGCCACAUUGGGACUGAGACACGGCCCAGACUCCUACGGGAGGCAGCAGUGGGGAAUAUUGGGCAAUGGGGGAAACCCUGACCCAGCGACGCCGCGUGAGGGAAGAAGGUUUUCGGAUUGUAAACCUCUGUCCUUGGUGACGAUAAUGACGGUAGCCAAGGAGGAAGCCACGGCUAACUACGUGCCAGCAGCCGCGGUAAUACGUAGGUGGCGAGCGUUGUCCGGAAUUACUGGGUGUAAAGGGAGCGUAGGCGGGAGAGCAAGUCGACUGUGAAAUCUAUGGGCUUAACCCAUAGCUGCGAUCGAAACUGUUCAUCUUGAGUGAAGUAGAGGCAGGCGGAAUUCCUAGUGUAGCGGUGAAAUGCGUAAAUAUUAGGAGGAACACCAGUGGCGAAGGCGGCCUGCUGGGCUUUAACUGACG
RNAcentral lists this ribosomal RNA (736 nucleotides) under uncultured bacterium. RNAcentral describes it as "bacterial SSU rRNA". It matches the Rfam family "Bacterial small subunit ribosomal RNA", at positions 9 to 745 of the family's 1533-position model. The record is from RNAcentral.